RNAcentral lists this ribosomal RNA (397 nucleotides) under uncultured bacterium. RNAcentral describes it as "partial 16S ribosomal RNA". It matches the Rfam family "Bacterial small subunit ribosomal RNA", at positions 523 to 918 of the family's 1533-position model. The record is from RNAcentral.
AUACGUAGGGGGCGAGCGUUGUCCGGAAUGAUUGGGCGUAAAGGGCGCGUAAGCGGCCCGGUAAGUCUGGAGUGAAAGUCCUGUUUUUAAGAUGGGAAUUGCUUUGGAUACUGUCGGGCUUGAGUGCAGGAGAGGUAAGUGGAAUUCCCAGUGUAGCGGUGAAAUGCGUAGAGAUUGGGAGGAACACCAGUGGCGAAGGCGACUUACUGGACUGUAACUGACGCUGAGGCGCGAAAGUGUGGGGAGCAAACAGGAUUAGAUACCCUGGUAGUCCACACUGUAAACGAUGAAUGCUAGGUGUAGGGGGUAUCGACCCCUUCUGUGCCGCAGUCAACACAAUAAGCAUUCCGCCUGGGGAGUACGGCCGCAAGGUUGAAACUCAAAGGAAUUGACGGGG